AACCUUCAUUUGCUACAUAAGUGCAGCAAUCUGUACGUCCGUGGUGACCACAAGACACGAGAAAUUAGGCUCUAUCAUCGAAGGUGGGGGAGGAAUAUCUUCCCGACGGGAAGACUAUCUCGUCGAUCCAGUCGAAUGUUGUGCUCUGGUUCUUGGCAUAGUUGAUUGUAGUCACCCUCUAUCUGGUGCGUCAAUUUGUUGCGGCCAAUCUCCUGUCACCUAUCGCCGGUGAAGAAUACCUGCAAGACAAAGUCCUCACAGAUCGAAAUUGUGUCUGACGGAGAUCCUCCGAUGCUUAAGUCAGAAAGGGGGUUGGUGAACAGCAGAUAAGAAUGUUUAGAGCGACAGAGUCUUAGUCCAAAAUUGCCUUAUCCGUGCUGUUCAUUUACCUCUCUUUUAUAGAUGAUUCUGAUGUAACCGUCAAGCACGUGGUCCCAUUUUUUAUUGUGCUAAAUUAUCGGACCAUAAUCAUAGAGUUAGUGGACUGUUUAUUCCCAUUAAUAGCCGUGACACGUAGUCGAUAAUCGUUCAUGACGGUUAGGAUGUAUUGAGCAGAUAGGCCGACUAUAUGUCGGUAAUACUGAUAAGUCGGUAGU
RNAcentral lists this long non-coding RNA (596 nucleotides) under Elaeis guineensis (African oil palm). RNAcentral describes it as "long non-coding RNA (EGUI_LNC011665)". The record is from RNAcentral. Lineage: Eukaryota; Viridiplantae; Streptophyta; Magnoliopsida; Arecales; Arecaceae.